RNAcentral lists this ribosomal RNA (371 nucleotides) under uncultured bacterium. Its description in RNAcentral is "partial 16S ribosomal RNA". It matches the Rfam family "Bacterial small subunit ribosomal RNA", at positions 338 to 723 of the family's 1533-position model. The record is from RNAcentral.
CCUACGGGUGGCAGCAGUGGGGAAUAUUGGGCAAUGGGGGCAAGUCUGACCCAGCAACGCCGCGUGAAGGAAGAAGGCUUUCGGGUUGUAAACUUCUUUUCUCAGUGACGAAGCAAGUGACGGUAUCUGAGGAAUACGCCACGACUAACUACGUGCCAGCCGCCGCGGUAAUACGGAGGGGGCAAGCGUUCUCCGGAUUUACUGGGUGUAAAGGGGGUGUAGGCGGGGUCGUAAGUCAGAGGUGAAACCCACGGGCUCAACCUUUUGCCUGCAUUUGAAACUGUGUUGCUUGAGUACCGGAGAGGCAGACGGAAUUCCGAGUGUAGAGGUGAAAUGCGUAGAUAUUAGGAGGAACACCAGUGGCGAAGGUG